Podarcis lilfordi (Lilford's wall lizard) is the source of this 83-nucleotide non-coding RNA. Lineage: Eukaryota; Metazoa; Chordata; Lepidosauria; Squamata; Lacertidae. The record is from the annotation of a GenBank genome assembly.
GCUCAGGUUGUAUAUAUUAGUUCAGUCAGUGGGGCUUGAGACUCUUAAUCUCAGGACCGUGAGUUUGAGCCCCAUGUUGGGCA